CUUAUGUUAGUUAGUGACACAUGUCCACUAUAUUAUUAUUAUUUUUUUUUCUAACUUAAAUCUGAAUCUUUCAUAAAUUAUAUCAAACUUCUAAUAUUUACUCUUAGGUCCCUAGCCAUAAACCUUUAAUAUAAUAUCAUUUAAUAUAAAAUAAUUAUUAAAUAAUCCUUAUUUUUACAAACAAACCUUUUACUAAAUUUUUAAAAAUGGG
RNAcentral lists this long non-coding RNA (211 nucleotides) under Musa acuminata (dwarf banana). RNAcentral's name for it is "long non-coding RNA (MACU_LNC007299)". Lineage: Eukaryota; Viridiplantae; Streptophyta; Magnoliopsida; Zingiberales; Musaceae. The record is from RNAcentral.